UAGGUUCGCUUGGGGCCAUUCGGGCUCGGGGUCCCUCCUAGGGCUUGAAUUCGGGGAUCCGAGCCUCUGUCACCCUGAGGGAGUUGUCUUAUUUUGCGCCAAAAGCUUCCUUGAUAGCUGGGACUCCCAUCGGGAGUCCCAAUCCUUGCUGUGACAGGGUUUUUAUACCUCGGACGCUGUUUGUUUUCCAAUCGUCACUGUUGCAAUCCAUUGCCUUCCUUUUUCGCUUGG
This 231-nucleotide long non-coding RNA is filed under the name Elaeis guineensis (African oil palm). RNAcentral describes it as "long non-coding RNA (EGUI_LNC074201)". Lineage: Eukaryota; Viridiplantae; Streptophyta; Magnoliopsida; Arecales; Arecaceae. The record is from RNAcentral.